This 424-nucleotide ribosomal RNA is filed under the name uncultured Mollicutes bacterium. RNAcentral's name for it is "bacterial SSU rRNA". It matches the Rfam family "Bacterial small subunit ribosomal RNA", at positions 244 to 661 of the family's 1533-position model. Lineage: Bacteria; Bacillati; Mycoplasmatota; Mollicutes. The record is from RNAcentral.
GCUAGUUGGUGAGGUAACGGCCCACCAAGGCGAUGAUGCGUAGCCGGCCUGAGAGGGUAAACGGCCACAUUGGGACUGAGACACGGCCCAAACUCCUACGGGAGGCAGCAGUAGGGAAUUUUCGUCAAUGGGGGAAACCCUGAACGAGCAAUGCCGCGUGAGUGAAGAAGGUCUUCGGAUCGUAAAGCUCUGUUGUAAGUGAAGAACGGCUCAUAGAGGAAAUGCUAUGGGAGUGACGGUAGCUUACCAGAAAGCCACGGCUAACUACGUGCCAGCAGCCGCGGUAAUACGUAGGUGGCAAGCGUUAUCCGGAAUCAUUGGGCGUAAAGGGUGCGUAGUUGGCGUACUAAGUCUGUAGUAAAAGGCAAUGGCUCAACCAUUGUAAGCUAUGGAAACUGGUAUGCUGGAGUGCAGAAGAGGGCGA